UGGGGAAUAUUGCACAAUGGGCGAAAGCCUGAUGCAGCGACGCCGCGUGAGGGAUGACGGCCUUCGGGUUGUAAACCUCUUUCAGCAGGGAAGAAGCGAAAGUGACGGUACCUGCAGAAGAAGCGCCGGCUAACUACGUG
RNAcentral lists this ribosomal RNA (140 nucleotides) under Streptomyces coelicolor. RNAcentral's name for it is "partial 16S ribosomal RNA". It matches the Rfam family "Bacterial small subunit ribosomal RNA", at positions 355 to 507 of the family's 1533-position model. RNAcentral also lists the same sequence under 6 other names. The record is from RNAcentral. Lineage: Bacteria; Bacillati; Actinomycetota; Actinomycetes; Kitasatosporales; Streptomycetaceae.